GACGAACGCUGGCGGCGUGCUUAACACAUGCAAGUCGAACGGAAAGGCUCCAGCUUGCUGGAGUACUCGAGUGGCGAACGGGUGAGUAACACGUGGGUAAUCUGCCUUGCACUCUGGGAUAAGCCUGGGAAACUGGGUCUAAUACUUGCUAUGACCUUUCUCCUUAUGGGGUUCUGUGGAAAGUUUUUCGGUGUAGGAUGAGCCGGCGGCCUAUCAGCUUGUUGGUGGGGUGAUGGCCUACCAAGGCGACGACGGGUAGCCGGCCUGAGAGGGUGAUCGGCCACAUUGGGACUGAGAUACGGCCCAGACUCCUACGGGAGGCAGCAGUGGGGAAUAUUGCACAAUGGGCCGAAGCCUGAUGCAGCGACGCCGCGUGAGGGAUGACGGCCUUCGGGUUGUAAACCUCUUUCAGCAAGGACGAAGCGUAAGUGACGUUACCUGCAGAAGAAGCACCGGCUAACUAUGUG
RNAcentral lists this ribosomal RNA (467 nucleotides) under uncultured bacterium. Its description in RNAcentral is "partial 16S ribosomal RNA". It matches the Rfam family "Bacterial small subunit ribosomal RNA", at positions 28 to 507 of the family's 1533-position model. The record is from RNAcentral.